UCCGUGAAAUUAAUCCAAACUCAGAUUUUUCCAAAGCUUUCCUGAUGGGUUAGAGGAACCACUUUAAAGUCUCCCAUGUGGUCCACCCAAAAGUGUUGUAAAUGAGCUCCAGCUGAGGUUCUGAGCAGACCAUUUGGAGAGAACACAUGACACCUGUCAUACUGAUUAGGGUCAAAGCCCAAAAGGAAACGUGCUAGCCAGCCAUUUGUGCGACAGUGAAUUAUUUAUAUAAAGGCCCGAAUACAAUUUGAUUGAAAUACAGAGAACAUGUUGUGCAAGUGAAGGCUUGACGUCACUGACCCAGGCAAUAUCCGGGACUUAUGUGGAUCUCAAAGAUGGCCACGCUGCUCCCAGCCAUCCUCCCAGUGUGAAGGGUUGCCUGGAGUUUGGGGACUCUCCAAGCUGACUGGCAAAAAGCAGACUGCACCGUGGAUGGGUUGCCAGGCAAUCACAAAGUACUUAUAAGGACAGAAAAUCGUUCACACUCACAAGCGCACUCAGUGGAAACCGAAGCUAUUGACGUUGGGACUUGCAGGCUUCCUGUGCCGCUGAUUUGGUAGACCAACCUCAUGCAGCUCCACUCACUCUGCUCCAGAACUGGACUCAACAAGACUCCCGUCGCAUCCAGUCCAGAUGUUCAAGGAUGUCGGAAUCAAUGGAGACCAGAUGUGGUUCCUCUCACCAGCAUUCAAAAUUCGAGCCAUCUCCAUUGACAAAAUGCAAGAUUUAGCUUGCCAAAGGUGUAUAUUUUUAUUUGAGGUGUUGGCUUCGAAGUUGCAGGAUCCUGGCAGCAACUCUUUGCGAGCUUGGAUGGCGGCUUCAGAGGAGAGUGGGGAGGAAAGUGAGAAAACAGUCAACGGCAAGUAUGAAUCACAGAAAUUGGCAUAAACAAAAACAUACCCUCAUGCAGCAGGACGGGCAUCACCUUUGAAAAGUACUUACCAGCCAGAGC
Syngnathoides biaculeatus (alligator pipefish) is the source of this 952-nucleotide long non-coding RNA. RefSeq lists it as uncharacterized. The transcript is spliced from 5 exons. Lineage: Eukaryota; Metazoa; Chordata; Actinopteri; Syngnathiformes; Syngnathidae. The record is from RefSeq and is a predicted model, not a curated record.